This 85-nucleotide transfer RNA is filed under the name Felis catus (domestic cat). It matches the Rfam family "tRNA". Rfam says of the family: Transfer RNA (tRNA) molecules are approximately 80 nucleotides in length. Lineage: Eukaryota; Metazoa; Chordata; Mammalia; Carnivora; Felidae. The record is from Rfam by way of RNAcentral.
GCCUGGGUGGCUCAGUCAGUUAAGCGUCUGACUUCAGCUCAGGUCAUGAUCUCGCAGUCUGUGAGUUCAAGCCUCACGUCGGGCU